GGAUUGUGGCUCAGAGGUAAAGUGCUCGCCUAGUAUGUGUGAGGCACUGGGUUCGAUCCUCAGCACCA
This 68-nucleotide transfer RNA is filed under the name Marmota monax (woodchuck). RNAcentral describes it as "tRNA.Thr". The record is from RNAcentral. Lineage: Eukaryota; Metazoa; Chordata; Mammalia; Rodentia; Sciuridae.